UGAUAAAUUUAGUUAAGUUAACAUUAGUUUGUCAGGCUAAAAAUAAAGGUAUUCCACAA
This 59-nucleotide transfer RNA is filed under the name Tetragnatha cf. tincochacae DDC-2018. RNAcentral's name for it is "tRNA-Asp". The record is from RNAcentral. Lineage: Eukaryota; Metazoa; Arthropoda; Arachnida; Araneae; Tetragnathidae.